This 509-nucleotide ribosomal RNA is filed under the name uncultured Veillonella sp. RNAcentral describes it as "bacterial SSU rRNA". It matches the Rfam family "Bacterial small subunit ribosomal RNA", at positions 28 to 508 of the family's 1533-position model. Lineage: Bacteria; Bacillati; Bacillota; Negativicutes; Veillonellales; Veillonellaceae. The record is from RNAcentral.
GACGAACGCUGGCGGCGUGCUUAACACAUGCAAGUCGAACGGACAGACAGAGAGCUUGCUCUCUUGAAGUUAGUGGCGAACGGGUGAGUAACGCGUAAUCAGCCUGCCCUUCAGAGGGGGAUAACAACGGGAAACCGUUGCUAAUACCGCGUACGAUUCAUAGGCGGCAUCGCUUGUGAAUGAAAGGUGGCCUCUAUAUAUAAGCUAUCGCUGAAGGAAGGGAUUGCGUCUGAUUAGCUAGUUGGAGGGGUAACGGCCCACCAAGGCAAUGAUCAGUAGCCGGUCUGAGAGGAUGAACGGCCACAUUGGGACUGAGACACGGCCCAAACUCCUACGGGAGGCAGCAGUGAGGAAUCUUCCGCAAUGGACGAAAGUCUGACGGAGCAACGCCGCGUGAGUGAUGAAGGUCUUCGGAUUGUAAAGCUCUGUUAAUCGGGACGAAAGAGUUCUGUGUGAAUAAUGCAGAAAAGUGACGGUACCGGAAUAGAAAGCCACGGCUAACUACGUGC